This 75-nucleotide transfer RNA is filed under the name Candidatus Kerfeldbacteria bacterium. RNAcentral describes it as "tRNA-Thr". It matches the Rfam family "tRNA". Rfam says of the family: Transfer RNA (tRNA) molecules are approximately 80 nucleotides in length. Their secondary structure includes four short double-helical elements and three loops (D, anti-codon, and T loops). Further hydrogen bonds mediate the characteristic L-shaped molecular structure. tRNAs have two regions of fundamental functional importance: the anti-codon, which is responsible for specific mRNA codon recognition, and the 3' end, to which the tRNAs corresponding amino acid is attached (by aminoacyl-tRNA synthetases). tRNAs cope with the degeneracy of the genetic code in two manners: having more than one tRNA (with a specific anti-codon) for a particular amino acid; and 'wobble' base-pairing, i.e. permitting non-standard base-pairing at the 3rd anti-codon position. The record is from RNAcentral. Lineage: Bacteria; Candidatus Kerfeldiibacteriota. RNAcentral also lists the same sequence under 2 other names.
GCCGGUGUAGCUCAGUGGUAGAGCAAUGCUUUCGUAAAGCAGAGGUCGUCGGUUCAAUCCCGACCACCGGCUCCA